GACGAACGCUGGCGGCGUGCUUAACACAUGCAAGUCGAACGGAAAGGCCCUGCUUUUGUGCGGUGCUCGAGUGGCGAACGGGUGAGUAACACGUGAGUAACCUGUCCUUGACUUUGGGAUAUCUUCAGGAAACUGGGGCUAAUACCGCAUAGGAGCUCCUGCUCCAUGGUGGGGGUUGGAAAGUUUCGGCGGUUGGGGAUGUACUCGCGGCUUAUCAGCUUGUUGGUGGGGUAGUGGCUUACCAAGGCUUUGACGGGUAGCCGGCCUGAGAGGGUGACCGGCCACAUUAGGACUGAGAUACGGCGCAGACUCCUACGGGAGGCAGCAGUGGGGAAGAUUGCACAGUAGGCGGAAGCCUGAUGCAGCAACGCCGCGUGCGGGAUGACGGCCUUCGGGUUGUAAACCGCUUUCGCCUGUGACGAAGCGUGAGUGACGGUAAUGGGUAAAGAAGCACCGGCUAACUACGUG
RNAcentral lists this ribosomal RNA (468 nucleotides) under uncultured bacterium. RNAcentral's name for it is "partial 16S ribosomal RNA". It matches the Rfam family "Bacterial small subunit ribosomal RNA", at positions 28 to 507 of the family's 1533-position model. The record is from RNAcentral.